RNAcentral lists this ribosomal RNA (275 nucleotides) under uncultured prokaryote. RNAcentral describes it as "partial 16S ribosomal RNA". It matches the Rfam family "Bacterial small subunit ribosomal RNA", at positions 524 to 798 of the family's 1533-position model. The record is from RNAcentral.
UACGUAGGUGGCGAGCGUUGUCCGGAUUUACUGGGCGUAAAGGGAGCGUAGGCGGACUUUUAAGUGAGAUGUGAAAUACCCGGGCUCAACUUGGGUGCUGCAUUUCAAACUGGAAGUCUAGAGUGUAGGAGAGGAGAAUGGAAUUCCUAGUGUAGCGGUGAAAUGCGUAGAGAUUAGGAAGAACACCAGUGGCGAAGGCGAUUCUCUGGACUGUAACUGACGCUGAGGCUCGAAAGCGUGGGGAGCAAACAGGAUUAGAUACCCCCGUAGUCCCU